UACGUAGGGUGCAAGCGUUGUCCGGAAUUAUUGGGCGUAAAGAGCUCGUAGGCGGUCUGUCGCGUCUGCUGUGAAAAUCCAGGGCUCAACCCCGGGCCUGCAUUCGAUACGGGCAGACUAGAGUUCGGUAGGGGAGUCUGGAAUUCCUGGUGUAGCGGUGAAAUGCGCAGAUAUCAGGAGGAACACCGGUGGCGAAGGCGGGACUCUGGGCCGAUACUGACGCUGAGGAGCGAAAGCGUGGGGAGCAAACAGG
RNAcentral lists this ribosomal RNA (253 nucleotides) under uncultured bacterium. RNAcentral describes it as "partial 16S ribosomal RNA". It matches the Rfam family "Bacterial small subunit ribosomal RNA", at positions 524 to 776 of the family's 1533-position model. The record is from RNAcentral.